GCUGGGCGUGGUGGCGCAUGCCUGUAGUCCCAGCUACUCGGGAGGCUGAGGCAGAAGAAUUGCUUGAACCCGGGAGGCUUCAGUGAGCCGAGAUCAAGCCAUUGCACUCCAGCCUGGGUGACAGAGCAAGACUCUGUCUCGA
Molecule: non-coding RNA, 142 nt
Filed under: Chlorocebus sabaeus (green monkey)
Lineage: Eukaryota; Metazoa; Chordata; Mammalia; Primates; Cercopithecidae
Source: Rfam by way of RNAcentral